This 440-nucleotide ribosomal RNA is filed under the name uncultured bacterium. Its description in RNAcentral is "partial 16S ribosomal RNA". It matches the Rfam family "Bacterial small subunit ribosomal RNA", at positions 338 to 795 of the family's 1533-position model. The record is from RNAcentral.
CCUACGGGGGGCAGCAGUGGGGAAUAUUGCACAAUGGGGGAAACCCUGAUGCAGCGACGCCGCGUGAGUGAAGAAGUAAUUCGUUAUGUAAAGCUCUAUCAGCAGGGAAGAAAAUGACGGUACCUGAGUAAGAAGCCCCGGCUAACUACGUGCCAGCAGCCGCGGUAAUACGUAGGGGGCAAGCGUUAUCCGGAUUUACUGGGUGUAAAGGGAGCGUAGACGGCAGUGCAAGUCUGGAGUGAAAGGCGGGGGCUCAACCCCCGGACUGCUCUGGAAACUGUACGGCUGGAGUGCAGGAGAGGUAAGUGAAAGUCCGAGGGGAGCGGUGAAAGGCGUAGAUAGUAGGAGGAAGACCAGUGGCGAAGGCGGCUUACGGGACUGUAACUGACGUGGAGGUUCGAAAGCGUGGGGAGAAAACAGGAUUAGAUACCCGGGUAGUC